This 337-nucleotide long non-coding RNA is filed under the name Bemisia tabaci. RNAcentral's name for it is "lncRNA ENSSSA1UGG003417". Lineage: Eukaryota; Metazoa; Arthropoda; Insecta; Hemiptera; Aleyrodidae. The record is from RNAcentral.
AUCGCGGGGAUAAUGGAUGUCGGAUACCUGGUCAAUCUGGUCACAACUUCCUUUGAUUGCUUGCAUACCUAUUUGGCAGUGGUCUGGAGUCAGCGUUUCUGUAAAUUGUUUCUAAUAUGUAUCUUAAUGACCUUUUCGAGGCCAAUUUUUUAGUGCGCAAUGCGGUUUCAGUGCGGUUUCAGUGAUAGUGUCGCGUCGCGUCGUGAGUGCUUUCAGCUUGGCGUCGGGCAAUUGGAUACCUCUCUUCUGGUGCGUAUCUUACAGUUAUUUUCUUCUUGUCUUUAAAUUCAUCUAUUAUCCCUCAACAGUUGUUAGUUACAGGAUAAAUUUUUAUUUU